GUGAGGAAUAUUGGUCAAUGGGCGAGAGCCUGAACCAGCCAAGUCGCGUGAAGGAAGAAGGAUCUAUGGUUCGUAAACUUCUUUUGCAGGGGAAUAAAGUGCGGGACGUGUCCUGUUUUGUAUGUACCCUGAGAAUAAGGAUCGGCUAACUCCGUGCCAGCAGCCGCGGUAAUACGGAGGAUCCGAGCGUUAUCCGGAUUUAUUGGGUUUAAAGGGUGCGUAGGUGGUUUGAUAAGUCAGCGGUGAAAGUUUGCAGCUUAACUGUAAAAAUGCCGUUGAAACUGUCGGACUUGAGUGUAAAUGAGGUAGGCGGAAUGCGUGGUGUAGCGGUGAAAUGCAUAGAUAUCACGCAGAACUCCGAUUGCGAAGGCAGCUUACUAAGCUACAACUGACACUGAAGCACGAAAGCGUGAGGAUCAAACAGGAUUAGAAACCCCAGUAGUCC
RNAcentral lists this ribosomal RNA (445 nucleotides) under uncultured bacterium. RNAcentral describes it as "partial 16S ribosomal RNA". It matches the Rfam family "Bacterial small subunit ribosomal RNA", at positions 354 to 796 of the family's 1533-position model. The record is from RNAcentral.